This is a non-coding RNA of Pelobates cultripes (western spadefoot toad), 5182 nucleotides long. Lineage: Eukaryota; Metazoa; Chordata; Amphibia; Anura; Pelobatidae. The record is from the annotation of a GenBank genome assembly.
UUUUUUGUUUACUAUGGUAAAUAAUUGCCUAAUAAAACAUAUAAUAAUGAUGAAGCAAAAAACAUAUGUAAUCCUCCACUGCCUGGGUUAUAAAAUGAUGUUGUUAUCAUUCAGUAAUUGGUGAGUAGCACAAUGAUAAAAAAAAUCAAAGAAAUAUUUCAUGAAAAAUAAUCUUGAAUCAUGUUGUUGUUUAACUGUGUUCACUUUAUCAUGUGUUUUAUCUUUGAAAUCUGAAAAGUCAAUAUGGAUAACUGAAUAUGUUCUAUUUUCUCAUGCCACAUGGGGCUCUAGAUGACUGCUGUGCAGUUCCAGUAAGUCUACCCUUUACACAAGAAAAGCAGCUCCUGAACUCAAUCACUGCCAUGCUCUUUUCAUUGUUUUCAAAGAGUUUUUUUUCCUUAUUGAAUAAAUGGCUUCACUGAAAAGGAUCUAAUAAUUCUAUAAUCCUUGAAGCAGUAUCCCAGCUGAAAAGGUGUAAUGGGAAAAUAAAAAUCUACGAUGCCUUUGCUUUGUUUAGUUCUUAAUUUUUUUUAGGGAGGGUAAGAGUUGUAAUGGAGGAAACAUAAUUUAUGUGUGUCUUUUUGAAUUCAUGAACAACACUUUAUUUACUCGGCGUAGGUAGAAGAAUUUACCUGCAGUGUGAGUGAUGCAAUGUUGAACAUACAAUCUGAGAGUCUAAAUGUGCACAUGGUGAAGAGUUUUGUGAUUCGGCAAUAACCAACUACCCUACAUAGUGGUAGUAAGCUUAAAUGGCAUGUGAAUUGCCAAGAAUUCAGAGAAUAGCGACUGUUCAUUUUACCAUGCUAAUCAAUCAAGUGCUAUGCAAUGUCUACAUUUUACUGAUCUAUGUGCUUCUCGAGAUUCCUCAUAGCCAUUACCACCAACUACAGCUGCCUGUAUGCAUCCCUUGUCAACAAAAGCAGGCAAAUGGAUUCAAAAAGCUUAUGUUGCUGUGUCAUGCCACUCAAACAUCAUGUGUUUUCUUUUCCAAUUUAUCAGUUUUAAUGGUUUGGAGCUUAUUGCAUACCAAUCCACAAAAAACUAAUUUGCAUUCCAGAUCAGUGUCUUUAUGGCCUAAAUUAUGUGCGUUGCAAAUAUGAGGUGAACGUAAUAUAUUUAUGCAUCGACUGUGAAACAAUGCAUGACUUAGGAUAAAAAAUAGACUGAUGAGAAUGAUGUUGCAAAUUUGGUUGGACUUUUGGCAAGUCACAUGAUCAUAUCAGUACAUUUUAGAGAAGGUUCCUUGAAGCUUUGGUAUGGCCUUACCUAUCUUACUGCCACGGAUAUCAGUAGUACAUGCUUACCUAUGCUUCCACUCUGUAAAUUCAUUUAAAUAAAAUCAAAUGAAUUCAUUACAAACAUUGGCUAUUUAGACUAGUGGUGGUGACAUGAUUAGUUCACCCACCCAUUGUGAUAAGCUAUAAAACAUAAUGCAAGGCACAAGUCUAUUGAGAAAGAUAUCAUACAUAAAUCCUUUUUUUAUGACAUCAAUAAUGCAAUGGGGAAUUGUAUUUGCUGAAUAUAACUGCUAAUGUCAAUACAAUGCUGAUUGCUUCUGAAAUUAGACCUCUAGGUUUUAUAUUUGGUAGUUAAUUGUCUGGAACAAAUUGACAUGAAUCCAAACAAAUUCACCUCUUGUCAUCUAUGGCAGGGCUGCACUUAGCUUAUGUGAUUAUUUAUUGAGGAAUCCAAAUCAAAUGAACAACAUUUAAAUAUAAUGCUAGUAACAGAACAUUGCUUUCAAGUUUUGCAAUGUACCAGUGGAAAAGGAAGGCAGUGCAAUGUCCCUUAGAUCAUGUUUGGGUACAGCCAGUGAACAUUCAACCUCAUGCACAUAGUGAGCUUACUUAGAUGCCAAGUCAAUCGUGCUUCUAAACUUAUUUGCUAAAUUAGAAAUUCUGGAUAUUUGACAAAUUCUAGGCCAAAAGAGCAAGGUCUUCUACUGAUAUCCAUGGCAAUUAUUCCUUAGUUGUCCCUUUUCUCUUGGAUGGCACCUGUUUUAUCUAAAUACAUAUACCUCAAUAAUCAUAUGAACAAUUUUUGUAACAGUAUGCUAAAUUUGGAACAUAGGGAUAGACAAUGUAUCCCAUUAGACCAACUUGCUAAGUACAUCUCUAUCAUAAUGAUAUCUCUGUAAUUCCAGACUGGAUCUUUACAUUACAUUGCAUUUUAUUACUCUGCAAGACAGAACAAUAUUUAAUUUACUAAAUGAUGCUUUAACUGCAAAGGUGUUACUAGGCUCCAAAACACCUGGGUAUUGAGCCCAAAGCAAACCUCAAAAAACUAUAACAAAUCAAAAAAAAGUACAGUUGGAAACAAGCACAUGCUGCACACAACCAGGUAUUUGAUGCAAUCUCAGCACACAUGGUGUGCAGCAAAAUUCUCUUACCAAGCACCCUCUCCCAAUAGUUACCCCGCAGAGCACUAUGUUAGUGAUCUUUCAUUUUACAGUAUAUCUGGUGGCUCCAUUGAAUGAAAUAAAAAAUGAAGUAAACAGUAAUAUACUCUUGCCUUUCCACUACUUAUAGAGAUCUGGAGGUUAAAGUAUCCACAUGUGGAACGUAAGUCCCCCAAAGCCCCAACUCCAGAGAUAUCUAUGGGUUGACUGUACAUAAUUAAAUAAGUAUAUGUCAAACUGAAACUAUUUGCUAUCUCUAUGAUCUAAACACUACUUACAUGUUUGCCAUUUACUAUUCUGUUGCUGGGAAACUGAUGUGCGCUCAGUAUUCAAUUCCUAUUCUUUAAUUCUUUAUUAAACCAUUUGACAGUCAGAAUGCACGUGUUGAUCAUAUUGUUUGAUUGAAACAUUGACAUUAUACAUUUAAAACUAUUCACAAAUUAAUAAAAUAUUGACUAUAAACAUGUUGUGCAAUUACCACUUCAAGUCCUACUCUUAGACAAGACUAUAUUGAGCUGCACUGUGCAAUGGAGAGUUUAUUUUUAUCUGGCAUUCUCAGGGGGGUAAUUAUUAGUUUCAUCAUUUGUGUCUAAAACAAAUUUUGAUAAUAUCUUUUUUUUUCCCUCCAUCUAUAAAGAACUUCUGGAAUCCUCCUGGGCUUUGUGCUUUUGAAAUUACAAUUAAUAAUGACAGUGGCCAGUACAAAAGACACUGUUUACCGCUACACAUUUUUUUUUUUAAAUCAGCCAAUAAACAUAGAAAAGCUUUCUGGUUUUCCAGAAUUAAAUUUAAAUUUAGUUUGUUCCCUUGGAUUUGCAUCACUUCUGGAGAAGUUGUAGGCUGUAGCUACUGUCAAACUGGCAUAUUGCCUAGAUUUGCAGCUGUGAGAGUUUUCAAAAUGGUCACAGACAGACUGCCGGGGUCAUACAGAGCAAUUGCCUAUCCCGCUCACCAGCUACCCUUUCUCCCUCUGCAUUCAUAUAUUGAAGACGAAGGUAAAACGACAAACAGAGACGGGAAGAAAUAUGAUGUUUUUUUGCUGAGAUUUACUAUUUCUGGAGAGGUACACUAUAAUAUGCAUUACAAUCAGACACCCUGUAAACCUCCCUCCCAUCCUGAAUAAAGGUUAACUGGGAUGUCAGUGUCGCCUGACAGUGCAGAAAUUACUUUGAGAAAAAGCUCUGCUGAGGUCUUAAUACUACAGUCAAUUCCACCCAGCCAGCAGGAAAUGGCUUUUUUUUUCUUCUGCUUUUGUGUAGGGGAUGAAUUGGUGCCAAUGUCUUUACUAUUUCAAGUCCCAAACUGUUUGUGGUCUUUGGGAUUCAGCUAACAUUAAUACUAUCACUGUUUUAGUAAGAAGAUUUGUCACUUCUGAACAGCUGUGAGCUAAACAAAAGUGAAGUCUUGAUUUUCUGGAGCUGAGCUAGCAAAUUGUAUUACAUUUUUGUCAUUCAAUGCAGGACAGAUUAAAUUUUUCUGAGUUGAGCUUCAUCUGUGCUCUCACACAUAUUUGAUUCUGAAGAUGCCCCAUCGAAGAUACAUUUCACACUUGUACUUACAAAAUGAUGUAAUGAGCUUAGUUUUCAAACAAAGGCAGACACCAUGCUCCAUAACAGCUAACUGCACUCACCCUGGUUAGUUAGUAAUAUUUAUCAGAGUGUUUAGCACUUAAAGCUAUCAUAAUAUGUAUUAUGGCUUGCAGUAUUUUCAUACCUAUGACAUAACAAGAGAUACCACAUGCAAAACUAUAUUGUGUGACAGUAUACAUUAUUAUGUCAAGUUUAAACAACAAUAGCCAACUGCAUAAAACAUAAUUAGCAAAUGCAAAAAAUAAAAAUAAAAAAACUUACGUAAAAUGUAUUAAUGCACAAAUAUAUCAUGUCUACAAAAUAUAACCCAUGGUCUUUAUAGUAUUCUGUAUUGUUUACUAAGACAAUUAUGUAUAUGGGUGCCAUACACUGGUAUCAAAGUGUCCCCAUGUUGAGUACCACCACUAAGCCAGAAUUAAUUAACAGAAAAAAUACUUAGUAACAAAAAAUUGCUUAGAAGACAGUCAGCAAUGAAUAAUUUUAAAUUAAAUAUUAAUGAACAGGGAGCAGACACUUUGCUUCACCAGCUGCAGUGCAAUGAACUUAUCGUAACAUUAUUACCGCAACAUUAUAUCCUACUGUGAACAGGUCUGUCGUAUUAGAAAAGCCUAAGCUAGAUUUUGUCUGUUUCUGUACUAGAGUCCAUGCUAAAUUUAUAUAAUACUUAUAUGUUAUGUGCCUGAAUGGAAAUUAAUUAUAAAGUGAGCUAAAAGAGUUACAGAGGAGAAGAGCUGCUCCUUUUUGGGAUCGUCACUCGGGGUCAGUUGUCUCUCUCUUUCCUCAUUUACUAUAAGCUUUUAUGGUAUUACCAUCCAUUUCUCUCUAUCAGUGCUCAAUUUUGCAAAGAAAGGAUAACAGCGACCUUUUCUGACCUCUUCUUAAUAGCUUUGCUAUUGUUGUCCAACAGAAUCAUGAGCUUAUCACAGCCUAUACACAAUACAUAUGUUGAAGGUGUCGGUUCCAAUUUUUUUAUCACCAUAACCUUUUGUGUCAUGAUUUUUUUUCCAUUUUCUUGACUACGCUUCACAUCUAGCAUGCCAAAUAUCUUGCACAAAGGUUGUCUCAUGCGAAUGAUGUAAUGAAUGAAAUAAAACAAGAAAUUCCUUGAUUUUCGCGUUUUUUUUUGUGUUCACCCUCAGCAUCAUUUGUUUUGAAACUAAUGGUGACAUUGAGCAGCAAUGAAAGUAAUAAGAAA